CCUACGGGAGGCUGCAGUGGGGAAUAUUGCGCAAUGGGCGAAAGCCUGACGCAGCGACGCCGCGUGCGGGAUGAAGGUCUUCGGAUCGUAAACCUCUGUCAGCAGGGAAGAACGGUCACUGUGCUAAUCAGCAGUGAAUUGACGGUACCUGCAAAGGAAGCACCGGCUAACUCCGUGCCAGCAGCCGCGGUAAUACGGAGGGUGCGAGCGUUAAGCGGAAUUACUGGGCGUAAAGCGUUCGUAGGCGGUAUGGCAAGUCAAGGGUGAAAUCCCCGCGCUUAACGUGGGAACUGCCUUUGAAACUGGCAAACUGUGUUGUGUGAGAGGAUAGUGGAAUUCCAGGUGUAGGCGUGAAAGCCGUAGAUAUCUGGAGGAACAUCAGUGGCGAAGGCGACUAUCUGGCACAUAACUGACGCUGAGGAGCGAAAGCGUGGGUAGCAAACAGGAUUAGAUACCCCAGUAGUC
RNAcentral lists this ribosomal RNA (465 nucleotides) under uncultured bacterium. RNAcentral's name for it is "partial 16S ribosomal RNA". It matches the Rfam family "Bacterial small subunit ribosomal RNA", at positions 338 to 795 of the family's 1533-position model. The record is from RNAcentral.